This 202-nucleotide ribosomal RNA is filed under the name uncultured bacterium. RNAcentral's name for it is "partial 16S ribosomal RNA". It matches the Rfam family "Bacterial small subunit ribosomal RNA", at positions 524 to 725 of the family's 1533-position model. The record is from RNAcentral.
UACGUAGGGUGCAAGCGUUAAUCGGAAUUACUGGGCGUAAAGCGUGCGCAGGCGGUUUUGUAAGUCUGAUGUGAAAUCCCCGGGCUCAACCUGGGAAUUGCGGUGGAGACUGCAAGGCUAGAAUCUGGCAGAGGGGGGUAGAAUUCCACGUGUAGCAGUGAAAUGCGUAGAGAUGUGGAGGAACACCGAUGGCGGAGGCAGC